GACGAACGCUGGCGGCGUGCUUAACACAUGCAAGUCGAACGGAAAGGCCCUGCUUGCAGGGUACUCGAGUGGCGAACGGGUGAGUAACACGUGGGUGAUCUGCCCUCCACUUCGGGAUAAGCCUGGGAAACUGGGUCUAAUACCGGAUAGGAGCCAUUUUUAGUGUGAUGGUUGGAAAGUUUUUUCGGUGUAGGAUGAGCCCGCGGCCUAUUAGCUUGUUGGUGGGGUAAUGGCCUACCAAGGCGGCGACGGGUAGCCGGCCUGAGAGGGUGGACGGCCACAUUGGGACUGAGAUACGGCCCAGACUCCUACGGGAGGCAGCAGUGGGGAAUAUUGCACAAUGGGCGCAAGCCUGAUGCAGCGACGCCGCGUGGGGGAGGACGGCCUUCGGGUUGGAAACUCCUUUCGCUAGGGACGAAGCUUUUUGUGACGGUACCUAGAUAAGAAGCACCGGCUAACUACGUG
RNAcentral lists this ribosomal RNA (465 nucleotides) under uncultured bacterium. RNAcentral describes it as "partial 16S ribosomal RNA". It matches the Rfam family "Bacterial small subunit ribosomal RNA", at positions 28 to 507 of the family's 1533-position model. The record is from RNAcentral.